This 296-nucleotide ribosomal RNA is filed under the name uncultured bacterium. Its description in RNAcentral is "partial 16S ribosomal RNA". It matches the Rfam family "Bacterial small subunit ribosomal RNA", at positions 334 to 627 of the family's 1533-position model. The record is from RNAcentral.
UUUGCUUACGGGAGGCAGCAGUGAGGAAUAUUGGUCAAUGGGCGGAAGCCUUAACCAGCCAAGUCGCGUGAGGGAAUAAGGCCCUACGGGUCGUAAACCUCUUUUGCCGGGGAGCAAGGGCGGGGACGUGUCCCGGCCCGGAGAGUACCCGGAGAAAAAGCAUCGGCUAACUCCGUGCCAGCAGCCGCGGUAAUACGGAGGAUGCGAGCGUUAUCCGGAUUUAUUGGGUUUAAAGGGUGCGUAGGCGGGCUUUUAAGUCAGCGGUAAAAAUUCGGGGCUCAACCCCGUCCGGUAGU